Molecule: small nucleolar RNA, 73 nt
Organism: Osmerus eperlanus (European smelt)
Lineage: Eukaryota; Metazoa; Chordata; Actinopteri; Osmeriformes; Osmeridae
Source: RefSeq, a predicted model, not a curated record
AUGCAAUGAUGUCUUGAAUUUCUUCACCUGAAACCAAGCAUGUAGUUUUAAGGGCUUUUUAACACUGAGCAUC